This 234-nucleotide ribosomal RNA is filed under the name Brettanomyces nanus. RNAcentral describes it as "partial 26S rRNA". It matches the Rfam family "Eukaryotic large subunit ribosomal RNA", at positions 1623 to 1848 of the family's 3401-position model. Lineage: Eukaryota; Fungi; Ascomycota; Pichiomycetes; Pichiales; Pichiaceae. The record is from RNAcentral.
ACUUGGAUAUGGAUUCUUCACGGCAACGUAACAGAAUGCGGAGACGCCGGCAUGAGCCCUGGGAGGAGUUUUCUNUUCUUGUUAACGGCCCAUCACCCUGGAAUUGGUUUAUCCGGAGAGGGGGUUUUAUGGCNGGAAGAGCGCGGCCUUACUCAAACGUUAGCCGCGUCCGGUGCGCUCAUNACGGUCCUUGAAAAUCCGCAGGAAGGAAUAGUUUUCAUGCCAAGUNGUNCU